This 449-nucleotide ribosomal RNA is filed under the name uncultured bacterium. RNAcentral's name for it is "bacterial SSU rRNA". It matches the Rfam family "Bacterial small subunit ribosomal RNA", at positions 354 to 796 of the family's 1533-position model. The record is from RNAcentral.
GUGGGGAAUAUUGGACAAUGGGCGCAAGCCUGAUCCAGCAAUACCGCGUGUGUGAAGAAGGCCUGAGGGUUGUAAAGCACUUUCAAUAGGGAGGAAAACCUGUCGGCGAAUACCCGGCAGCUUGACAUUACCUAUACAAGAAGCACCGGCUAACUCCGUGCCAGCAGCCGCGGUAAUACGGAGGGUGCAAGCGUUAAUCGGAAUUACUGGGCGUAAAGCGUGCGUAGGCGGUUUGCUAAGUCAGAUGUGAAAGCCCCGGGCUUAACCUGGGAACGGCAUUUGAAACUGGUUAACUUGAGUUUAGUAGAGGGGAGUGGAAUUUCAGGUGUAGCGGUGAAAUGCGUAGAUAUCUGAAGGAACACCAGUGGCGAAGGCGACUCCCUGGACUAGAACUGACGCUGAGGUACGAAAGCGUGGGUAGCAAACAGGAUUAGAAACCCUAGUAGUCC